RNAcentral lists this long non-coding RNA (231 nucleotides) under Vitis vinifera (wine grape). Its description in RNAcentral is "long non-coding RNA (VVIN_LNC002058)". The record is from RNAcentral. Lineage: Eukaryota; Viridiplantae; Streptophyta; Magnoliopsida; Vitales; Vitaceae.
CGAAAUCAUUGGUAGUGAAGGAAGCUGGUGGGGUCGGUGUUAUUGUCGCCAACGUGGAACCGGAGGGAGGGAACAUAAUCGCCGACGCUCACCUCAUCCCUGGUUUGGCCAUUACCCAAUGGGGCGGUGACCUGGUUCGCGAUUACAUAAGCUCCACUAAGACGCCCGAAGCCACAAUAGUAUUUCGAGGGACCCAGGUGGGGGUGAAACCGGCGCCUGUCGUUGCAUCGU